AUGAGACAUUUGCCAUCAUCUAUGUGGAAGCUACAAAAGUUAAUGGUCAUCAGGGUUUCUUCUCGCUGCUAUUGGCACCCUGGUGUAUUGGGUAACCUGGCUUCUUUGGAAGUAGUCGAGGGGAUCUAUGCCUCUCCGAGCACGGUGCAAGAGCUUGGCUUCCUGGCAAGGCUGAGGAAGCUCGACAUUUACUUCUUUGAUUGGAGCCUCGAGGUAGAGGAAACUUUUGUGGAGACUAUAUACAACCUGCAUGAUAUCAGAAGUCUACGUAUUGCCUGCGACGAUGUACCAUACUUGGAUCUCUUGGGGGGACGCUGGGAACCCCCUCGAUGCCUUUGCAAAUAUACUUUCACAUCAGACCAUAUCGCAUGCUCUGGAUUGCCGAUGUGGAUAACAAAAUGUGGCCCCUCACAUCUAUCAAACCUAUCAUCGUUUCAUAUCAGAGUCAAGGAUGUGCAGCAAGAGGAUGUGCAAAUCCUUGGGAGGUUGCCAACUCUUCGCCAUCUCUGGAUAAGCAGCACCCACCAAACAAAAAGGCUGCUCGUCAUCGGUGCAGAUGAGUUCCGUUGUGUGAUAGCCUUUGGAAUGCAUUGUGAGCCAGCCAAUCAGGUAGUCUUUCAACAAGGAGCAUUGCCAAAUGCAGAAUAUGUCCGAUUUAAUCUGGGUGUGCGGGUGGCCAAAGAAGAUGGUGACAGCGAUCUGUUUGAGCUUGGCUCGGGUAACCUUCUCUCACUUCAGGGUGGAUUAGUUGAAAUCCAUUGGGAUGGGGUCACCAUUAAGAAGCAUGUGCCGCAGUGA
RNAcentral lists this ribosomal RNA (798 nucleotides) under Triticum aestivum (bread wheat). RNAcentral describes it as "partial small subunit ribosomal RNA". The record is from RNAcentral. Lineage: Eukaryota; Viridiplantae; Streptophyta; Magnoliopsida; Poales; Poaceae.